AUUGAACGCUGGCGGCAGGCCUAACACAUGCAAGUCGAGCGGAUGAAGGGAGCUUGCUCCUGGAGUCAGCGGCGGACGGGUGAGUAAUGCCUAGGAAUCUGCCUGGUAGUGGGGGAUAACGUCCGGAAACGGGCGCUAAUACCGCAUACGUCCUGAGGGAGAAAGUGGGGGAUCUUCGGACCUCACGCUAUCAGAUGAGCCUAGGUCGGAUUAGCUAGUUGGUGGGGUAAAGGCCUACCAAGGCGACGAUCCGUAACUGGUCUGAGAGGCUGAUCAGUCACCCUGGAACUGAGACACGGUCCAUACUCCUACGGGAGGCAGCAGUGGGGAAUAUUGGACAAUGGGCGAAAGCCUGAUCCAGCCAUGCCGCGUGUGUGAAGAAGGUCUUCGGAUUGUAAAGCACUUUAAGUUGGGAGGAAGGGCAGUAAGUUAAUACCUUGCUGUUUUGACGUUACCAACAGAAUAAGCACCGGCUAACUUCGUG
This 484-nucleotide ribosomal RNA is filed under the name uncultured bacterium. Its description in RNAcentral is "partial 16S ribosomal RNA". It matches the Rfam family "Bacterial small subunit ribosomal RNA", at positions 30 to 507 of the family's 1533-position model. The record is from RNAcentral.